Pelobates cultripes (western spadefoot toad) is the source of this 210-nucleotide non-coding RNA. The record is from the annotation of a GenBank genome assembly. Lineage: Eukaryota; Metazoa; Chordata; Amphibia; Anura; Pelobatidae.
CUCAGAUGGCAAGCAGAGGUGAUUCCUGGGUCAAUGCUGCACAGCUUCAAUGCAUGAUUCAAUGCAUCUCUAUGUGGAGCUGCUGGCACAGCACUGCAUUUUGCUGCAGGUGCCCAAUAGAUGGGAAAGCAUUGGAUUGGCUGAGAUCAUCGAGUUACGACAUAAACAAUAAAGUGAGAGCAAAAACCAUAUCUAUACCAUACCUUUAGC